AUAAAAAGGGAAUGACCAAACUACUCCUUUACUAUAUCUCAUGAUUGCUGUCAGAUUGCAGUCAGAUACCAAAGCGAUCUUAAAUGCAGAUUUGGGGAUUAAUCUGUCUUGGUUUUCUCCCGUCCACCCACCUUCGCCGCAGAGAAGGGAGCAAUGAUCACCAAUCUUCUUUCAGCUAAAGCACUCAUCUUCAUCUGUAUAGGGUGUCAUAUCAUCUUGUGGAAGACAAGGUUUAACCACUAAACUGAGAGAUGAAUCGUUUCACAGAAAUAUGUAUGGACAGAGCAUAACACAGUUUAGUCACUACAAAACAUUCAAUUCAGAACAAAAGAGUUAAACUCACAAAAGGGUAGAUUCCCCAUGUAACAGCUACACAAGAGAUCAUCAAAGAGUACGAACCAAUUAACACUAAAA
Molecule: long non-coding RNA, 414 nt
Organism: Brassica rapa (field mustard)
Lineage: Eukaryota; Viridiplantae; Streptophyta; Magnoliopsida; Brassicales; Brassicaceae
Source: RefSeq, a predicted model, not a curated record